GACGAACGCUGGCGGCGUGCCUAAUACAUGCAAGUAGGACGCAGUUGCGAACGGGUGAGUAACGCGUAUGUAACUGCCUAUUAGUGGGUGAUAACUAUUGGAAACGAUAGCUAAUACCGCAUACUAGUAGAUGGACCUGCGUUGUAUUAGCUAGUAGGUAGGGUAAUGGCCGACCUAGGCGACGUUACAUAGGCGAACUGGGAGGGUGAUCGGCCAAAACGGGACUUGGACACGGGCCAGACUCCUACGGGGGGCAGCAGGAGGGAAUCUUUGGAAAUGGGGGGAACCCUGAACGAGCAAAGCCGCGUGAGUGAAGAAGGUCUUCGGAUCGUAAAGCUCUGUUGUUAAGGAAGCGGUACUUAACCAGAAAGGGACGGCUAACUACGUGCCAGCAGCCGCGGUAAUUC
RNAcentral lists this ribosomal RNA (407 nucleotides) under uncultured bacterium. RNAcentral describes it as "partial 16S ribosomal RNA". It matches the Rfam family "Bacterial small subunit ribosomal RNA", at positions 28 to 526 of the family's 1533-position model. The record is from RNAcentral.